Non-coding RNA from Phoenix dactylifera (date palm), 1335 nucleotides. The record is from RefSeq and is a predicted model, not a curated record. Lineage: Eukaryota; Viridiplantae; Streptophyta; Magnoliopsida; Arecales; Arecaceae.
GGAUUUGACCUGGGCGGGCGUUUUUCGACCGGUCCCUUUAAUUUCACAAUUUCCACCUCCACCUCGAACACAAUGUUCAUCUAAGUUCCUUUAUCGAACACCUUCGGUGCGCCUUCCCACCAUCGCCGAAAGGGAGAAGCGAGCGGAAUGGCAGCUCCAUCUGCAAGCAUCGCCGUCGCAAACGCUACCUGGGAACAGAUCAAAUCCUCUCGCUCAGUGUCCGACGACCACCUAUCCAUCCUGCACUUCUUAUUCGGGAAGAACUUGGAGCGCGCGACGAGGAUCGUCGACCAGGGCGGCGUCCGAAGGGUCUCCGGGGCUCCCAGCGGCCGUUCUCUCUUUCUGGUGGUAGGGGAAUCGAAGAGGAAGGAGGAGUACAUCUGCUUUCCCGAGCACCACUGCACCUGCUACUCUUUCUUCUAUGACAUCGUCAACAGGGGUGAACAGCUCUGUUGCAAGCAUCAAAUAGCAGCUCGGCUUGCUGAAGCCGUGGGUGCGCUCACGGAAGUGGAGGUGUCUGAUGAGCAGCUGGCGCUUAUGCUUGCGAAACUCUGACAGCUAUAAGCGUCUCAAAUCGUACAGAUUAAAGUGAUACUAAUACACCAAAUAGUUGAGAAAAGGCUAGAGUGGUUAUGAUUAUGAUUAUGAGAUUAAAGUUCAGGAUGGAUCCUAGUCCCGUACUAUGCAUAAGUGCUACCCUGAAUUGGGCAGCCUAUAGCCCAGUGGUUGCACCCAUCCUCCAAGGUUCCGCAUUCAGGGUUGUUUUCUCAAGUAUUGGACCCAGGUAAUUCUACCAUGUGGCUUUCCUCCCCUUUCCCUCAAAAGAACGAAGUGUUAUAAUAAGUGUUAUUGCUAACAGGUUUGAUGUGAACUAUUUCCAUGAUUAUUCCCUCAUCCUGCUCAUUUUGCAGUGCUCUCCCAAGCAUGCAUGCACACAUUAUUUUGAGGAUUUGAGGGACUUAGUCAAUUCACAGAUUGGCAUCAGACUAAUUUGCAUGAUUGGUGUGCACAUGUGACUCGAGUCUAUUGUGGAUUGAGGAGAUGACAACCUCUGAUUGAUGUGGCUGAUGUAUGCUUAUGGAGGAUGGAUACCUGCUAACCGCACGCUUGUUGGCCAGUGACCAAGGAGCAGUUUCCAACUCAGCGGCUCUGGCUGAAGAAGUAUUUUACUGCAAAUAACAAAUAGCUAUCUAUUCCUCAACUUGUUGAAAUCUUGGAGAUUUGUAGGCAUUUUGGGGAUUGCUUGUGAAGGCUGUGAACAGAACUUGAGUGUAAUAAAGCAAAAUGCAUGGUUUUCCCAAAAAUUUUGAAAGUGGUGCUCAUGACAUUAACAUA